Molecule: ribosomal RNA, 287 nt
Filed under: uncultured beta proteobacterium
Lineage: Bacteria; Pseudomonadati; Pseudomonadota; Betaproteobacteria
Description: partial 16S ribosomal RNA
Rfam family: Bacterial small subunit ribosomal RNA
Source: RNAcentral
AAGAAGCACCGGCUAACUACGUGCCAGCAGCCGCGGUAAUACGUAGGGUGCGAGCGUUAAUCGGAAUUACUGGGCGUAAAGCGUGCGCAGGCGGUUUUUUAAGCCAGAUGUGAAAUCCCCGGGCUUAACCUGGGAACUGCAUUUGGAACUGGAAGGCUAGAGUGUAGCAGAGGGGGGUAGAAUUCCACGUGUAGCAGUGAAAUGCGUAGAUAUGUGGAGGAAUACCGAUGGCGAAGGCAGCCCCCUGGGUUAACACUGACGCUCAUGCACGAAAGCGUGGGGAGCAA